Molecule: ribosomal RNA, 252 nt
Filed under: uncultured bacterium
Lineage: Bacteria
Description: partial 16S ribosomal RNA
Rfam family: Bacterial small subunit ribosomal RNA
Source: RNAcentral
UACGGAGGAUGCGAGCGUUAUCCGGAUUUAUUGGGUUUAAAGGGUGCGUAGGCGGAUUUUUAAGUCAGCGGUAAAAUGUCCGGGCUCAACCCGGGCCGGCCGUUGAAACUGGGGAUCUUGAGUGGGCGAGAAGUAUGCAGAAUGCGUGGUGUAGCGGUGAAAUGCAUAGAUAUCACGCAGAACUCCGAUUGCGAAGGCAGCAUACCGGCGCCCGACUGACGCUGAGGCACGAAAGCGUGGGGAUCGAACAGG